This 390-nucleotide ribosomal RNA is filed under the name uncultured bacterium. Its description in RNAcentral is "bacterial SSU rRNA". It matches the Rfam family "Bacterial small subunit ribosomal RNA", at positions 335 to 713 of the family's 1533-position model. The record is from RNAcentral.
ACUCCUACGGGGAGGCAGCAGUGGGGGAAUAUUGCACAAUGGGCGCAAGCCUGAUGCAGCCAUGCCGCGUGUGUGAAGAAGGCCUUCGGGUUGUAAAGCACUUUCUAGUAGGGAGGAAGGUAGUGUAGUUAACACCUGCAUUAUUUGACGUUACCUACAGAAGAAGCACCGGCUAACUCCGUGCCAGCAGCCGCGGUAAUACGGAGGGUGCGAGCGUUAAUCGGAAUUACUGGGACGUAAAGCGCAUGCAGGCGGCCUGUUAAGUCAGAUGUGAAAGCCCGGGGCUUAACCUCGGAAUUGCAUUUGAAACUGGCAGGCUAGAGUCUUGUAGAGGGGGGUAGAAUUUCAGGUGUAGCGGUGAAAUGCGUAGAGAUCUGAAGGAAUACCAGU